GGGGGACCGGCGGUGUGUGUCGUAUCAUGCAGUCGAGCGAAGAGACAGGAGCUUGCUCCUUUGACGUUAGCGGCGGACGGGUGAGUAACACGUGGGUAACCUACCUAUAAGACUGGGAUAACUUCGGGAAACCGGAGCUAAUACCGGAUAAUAUUUCGAACCGCAUGGUUCGAUAGUGAAAGAUGGUUUUGCUAUCACUUAUAGAUGGACCCGCGCCGUAUUAGCUAGUUGGUAAGGUAACGGCUUACCAAGGCGACGAUACGUAGCCGACCUGAGAGGGUGAUCGGCCACACUGGAACUGAGACACGGUCCAGACUCCUACGGGAGGCAGCAGUAGGGAAUCUUCCGCAAUGGGCGAAAGCCUGACGGAGCAACGCCGCGUGAGUGAUGAAGGUCUUCGGAUCGUAAAACUCUGUUAUUAGGGAAGAACAUACGUGUAAGUAACUAUGCACGUCUUGACGGUACCUAAUCAGAAAGCCACGGCUAACUACGUGCCAGCAGCCGCGGUAAUACGUAGGUGGCAAGCGUUAUCCGGAAUUAUUGGGCGUAAAGCGCGCGUAGGCGGUUUUUUAAGUCUGAUGUGAAAGCCCACGGCUCAACCGUGGAGGGUCAUUGGAAACUGGAAAACUUGAGUGCAGAAGAGGAAAGUGGAAUUCCAUGUGUAGCGGUGAAAUGCGCAGAGAUAUGGAGGAACACCAGUGGCGAAGGCGACUUUCUGGUCUGUAACUGACGCUGAUGUGCGAAAGCGUGGGGAUCAAACAGGAUUAGAUACCCUGGUAGUCCACGCCGUAAACGAUGAGUGCUAAGUGUUAGGGGGUUUCCGCCCCUUAGUGCUGCAGCUAACGCAUUAAGCACUCCGCCUGGGGAGUACGACCGCAGGUUGAAACUCAAGGAAUUGACGGGACCCGCACAGCGGUGGAGCAUGUGUUAAUUCGAAGCACGCGAAGACCUACAAUCUUGACUUCUUUGACACUCUAGAGAUAGAGCCUCCCCCUUCGGGGACAAUGACAGUGGUGCAUGUGUCGUCAGCUCGGUUCGGGAAUGUAGUAGUCCCGCACGAGCGCAACCUUAGCUAGUUGCAUCAUUAGUUGGCCACUUAAGUUGACUGCGGACAACUGAGAGUGGUAUGUACUCAAUCUAGCCUUGAUAGGCUAACGUCCAAUGGCCAAUAUAGGGGGGA
Molecule: ribosomal RNA, 1180 nt
Filed under: Staphylococcus haemolyticus
Lineage: Bacteria; Bacillati; Bacillota; Bacilli; Caryophanales; Staphylococcaceae
Description: bacterial SSU rRNA
Rfam family: Bacterial small subunit ribosomal RNA
Source: RNAcentral